GGGAUGCCGGCGAGCGGCGGACGGGUGAGUAAUGCCUAGGAAUCUGCCUGGUAGUGGGGGAUAACGUUCGGAAACGGACGCUAAUACCGCAUACGUCCUACGGGAGAAAGUGGGGGAUCUUCGGACCUCACGCUAUCAGAUGAGCCUAGGUCGGAUUAGCUAGUUGGUGGGGUAAUGGCUCACCAAGGCGACGAUCCGUAACUGGUCUGAGAGGAUGAUCAGUCACACUGGAACUGGGACACGGUCCAGACUCCUACGGGAGGCAGCAGUGGGGAAUAUUGGACAAUGGGCGAAAGCCUGAUCCAGCCAUGCCGCGUGUGUGAAGAAGGUCUUCGGAUUGUAAAGCACUUUAAGUUGGGAGGAAGGGCAGUCAGCUAAUACCUGGUUGUUUUGACGUUACCAACAGAAUAAGCACCGGCUAACUUCGUGCCAGCAGCCGCGGUAAUACGAAGGGUGCAAGCGUUAAUCGGAAUUACUGGGCGUAAAGCGCGCGUAGGUGGUUCAGCAAGUUGGAGGUGAAAUCCCCG
This 527-nucleotide ribosomal RNA is filed under the name uncultured Pseudomonas sp. RNAcentral's name for it is "bacterial SSU rRNA". It matches the Rfam family "Bacterial small subunit ribosomal RNA", at positions 82 to 605 of the family's 1533-position model. Lineage: Bacteria; Pseudomonadati; Pseudomonadota; Gammaproteobacteria; Pseudomonadales; Pseudomonadaceae. The record is from RNAcentral.